RNAcentral lists this ribosomal RNA (1484 nucleotides) under uncultured Bordetella sp. RNAcentral describes it as "partial 16S-23S ribosomal RNA intergenic spacer". It matches the Rfam family "Bacterial small subunit ribosomal RNA". The record is from RNAcentral. Lineage: Bacteria; Pseudomonadati; Pseudomonadota; Betaproteobacteria; Burkholderiales; Alcaligenaceae.
GGUUCGAUCAUGGCUCAGAUUGAACGCUGGCGGGAUGCUUUACACAUGCAAGUCGAACGCAGCAGCACGGACUUCGGUCUGGUGGCGAGUGGCGAACGGGUGAGUAAUGUAUCGGAACGUGCCCUGGUGGCGGGGGAUAACUACGCGAAAGCGUAGCUAAUACCGCAUACGCCCUUCGGGGAAAGCGGGGGGACCUUCGGGCCUCGCGCACUAUUAGAAACGACGAUAUCGGAUUAGCUAGUUGGUGGGGUAACGGCUCACCAAGGCGACGAUCCGUAGCUGGUUUGAGAGGACGACCAGCCACACUGGGACUGAGACACGGCCCAGACUCCUACGGGAGGCAGCAGUGGGGAAUUUGGACAAUGGGGGAAACCCUGAUCCAGCCAUCCCGCGUGUGCGAUGAAGGACUUCGGGUUGUAAAGCACUUUUGGCAGGAAAGAAACGGCACGGGAUAAUACCCCGUGCAACUGACAGUACCUGCAGAAUAAGCACCGGCUAACUACGUGCCAGCAGCCGCGGUAAUACGUAAGUGCAAGCGUUAAUCCGAUUACUGGGCGUAAAGCGUGCGCAGGCGGUUCGGAGGAAAGAAGAUGUGAAAUCCCAGAGCUUAACUUUGGAACUGCAUUUUUAACUACCGAGCUAGAGUGUGUCAGAGGAGAGUGGAAUUCCGCGUGUAGCAGUGAAAUGCGUAGAUAUGGAGGAACACCGAUGGCGAAGGCAGCCUCCUGGGAUAACACUGACGCUCAUGCACGAAAGCAUUAGAGCAAACAGGAUUAGAUACCCUGGUAGUCCGCCUAAACGAUGUCAACUAGCUGUUGGGGCCUUCCGGGCCUUGGUAGCGCAGCUAACGCGUGAUUGACCGCCUGGGGAAAUACAGUCGCAAGAUUAAAACUCAAAGGAAUUGACGGGGACCCGCACAAGCGGUGGAUGAUGUGGAUUAAUUCGAUGCAACGCGAAAAACCUUACCUACCCUUGACAUGUCUGGAAUCGAAGAGAUUUGGGAGUGCUCGCAAAGAGAACCGGAACUUACAGAGUGCUGCAUGGCUGUCGUCAGCUCGUGUCGUGAGAUGUUGGGUUAAGUCCCGCAACAGGCGCAACCCUUGUCAUUAGUUGCUACGAAGGGCACUCUAAUGGAACUGCCGGUGACAAACCGGAGGAAGGUGGGGAUGACGUCAAGUCCUCAUGGCCCUUAUGGGUAGGGCUUCACACGUCAUACAAUGGUCGGGACAGAGGGUCGCCAACCCGCGAGGGGAGCCAAUCCCAGAAACCCGAUCGUAGUCCGGAUCGCAGUCUGCAACUCGACUGCGUGAAGUCCAGAAUCGCUAGUAAUCGCGGAUCCAGCAUGUCGCGGUGAAUACGUUCCCGGGUCUUGUACACACCGCCCGUCACACCAUGGGAGUGGGUUUUACCAAGUAGUUAGCUAACCGCUGGAGGGCGAUUACCACGGUAGGAUUCAUGACUGGGGUGAAGUCGUAACAAGGUGG